RNAcentral lists this ribosomal RNA (555 nucleotides) under uncultured bacterium. RNAcentral's name for it is "bacterial SSU rRNA". It matches the Rfam family "Bacterial small subunit ribosomal RNA", at positions 1 to 608 of the family's 1533-position model. The record is from RNAcentral.
AGAGUUUGAUCCGGGUCAAGAAGAAACGCGGGCGGCAGGCUUAACACAUGCAAGUGGAACGAUUCUUUGGGGAUUAGUGCGGGACGGUUGAGUAACGCGUGGGAACAUACCCUUUGGUACGGAAUAGCCUCGGGAAACUGGGAGUAAUUCCGUAUGUGCUCGAAAGAGGAAAGAUUUAUCGCCAAAGGGAUUGGCCCGCGUUGGAUUAGGUAGUUGGUGGGGUAAUGGCCUACCAAGCCGACGAUCCAUAGCUGGUUUGAGAGGAUGAUCGGCCACACUGGGACUGAGACACGGCCCAGACUCCUACGGGAGGCAGCAGUGGGGAAUCUUAGACAAUGGGGGAAACCCUGAUCUAGCCAUGCCGCGUGAUCGAUGAAGGCCUUAGGGUUGUAAAGAUCUUUCAGAUGGGAAGAUAAUGACGGUACCAUCAGAAGAAGCCCCGGCUAACUCCGUGCCAGCAGCCGCGGUAAUACGGAGGGGGCUAGCGUUAUUCGGAAUUACUGGGCGUAAAGCGCACGUAGGCGGACUGAAAAGUCAGAGGUGAAAUCCCAGGGC